Molecule: non-coding RNA, 12162 nt
Organism: Equus caballus (horse)
Lineage: Eukaryota; Metazoa; Chordata; Mammalia; Perissodactyla; Equidae
Source: RefSeq, a predicted model, not a curated record
CUGCAGUCUGGAAAUCAAAACCAAAAAUUUGCAAACAAUUUUAACCUUUACUGAAUCCCAUAGAGAACUAAAGAGAGGUCCCAUUCUUAAUACACAGCAAACAUUGAAAUGUGCUUUUCUCAUUUUUCUUUCUCUCUCUGUCUUUAUCUAUAGCUACAUCUCUCUCUCUGUCUCUCUCUUAACUAUCUCUGAGUAGCUCCUUUCUUGUUUCUUCCUGAAAAGCUCCAAAACCCUUCAAACCUAGCCUGCUACUAUCCCCAAACCCAAGGAUCUUUUAUUUCCCCUUCUCUUUCGUUGUUUCAUGAUCUACUCUGGACUUUUUCUGAUAUAAAUCAAUCCCAUACUCAUCUGUACCUCUCAGAUUUUCCCCGAAUUCAUACCUCUUUCAGCACCGCAAAAGACUGAGAACUGAGUAGAUUCACAGACGUGUCUUUGGAAAGGAGGGAGGGUAUUGAAGGAGAAUGCCUUUACUUCAAAUUUAAUAUUUUUUUUCUUCUCUCACUGCCAAAAAUCGCUUAAAUUUCUUUCACACCCAUUCUCUUCCCUCCAUUCCUGCUGCAAUGAUUAUAUCCCAGUGUCAAAAACUGUGAAGGGCCUGAGAUUGUUGCCUAAUUAUAAGCAAACAAUCAAGCCUGCCACAGUUUCAUGGAUGCUGAUAGAAGAUACAAGUCUUAAGGGUCAAAGACAAAGGGUGAUUUAUUGCUCACAGCAAUAGCAGUAGCCAGAGUGUCAGCAGAUAGUGCAAAGAGAACCAGAAGGCACCUGCACGCACAGUGAGUUGCAUUACAGGAGAGGAACCCUGAGCUUAGGGAACCCAAAUUUUUUAUAAUGAGCAGUAAGCGUGCCUGCUCUUUGCUCUGGGAAGGUCAGGGGAGAUACUAUCUCUAUCUUCUUCUAGCUGUUAGCAAAACUUCCUUUGUUCUGGAGGGAGACAUCAUCUCUUUCAAGGCUGUUGGAUGUACAAAGGUCCUCAAAGAGAUAGUCUGGAACAGAGGGCAGUGAGUGUCUCACUCACAAGACAUGCAGAAACAUAGGAGGCCCAGGGAGAAUUGUCUCCUUUCACCUCCUCUGGACAAUCAUCAUUUGUUGUUGGAAUAUUACAAUAUCUGCCCAUUGGCCAAGCUGUUCCUAGUCUUGCUUUCUUCCAACCCAUCCUACCUCUGCUGCAAGGGUGAUCUUUUGUAAUGCAGAUAGGGUCAUGCAACCUUCCCUUGCUUAGAAUAAUUUAAUGGCUGCUCAUUUCCCAUAGGAUGAUUUCCUUAGUGUGCCACAUAAAAUAUUUUUUAGUUCAGUUUUGCCUGCCUUUUCAGCCAUCUCUCCCGUUCUAUGCUGAAAAUGUUUGGCGUUUAAAAAGUGAGUAUAAUCUUGUACUUAAUAUGAUAAUCAUUUUUGGAACUACAUCUACAUGGAAAGCAAUUUACAGGUUAAUGGGCCUGAGACAGCCUUCAUGAACUACCUUACAAACUUGUAAACUAUUCUUGAUGAAGUGCAUCUCAAAUUCUAUUUGUACUGUUUGUGUGUGUGUAUGUGUGUGUGUCUGUAUGUGUUAAUGACAGACAAAGGAAAUUUAAAAAGAGAGAAUUCUCCUGUAAGCCCAACAAAUGGAAGUAAAUGUUCUAUUUAUUUAUAUUUUUCUGCAAGGAUCUAGGCCUUGCAUAGAUCAAUUGCAGUUGAACUUGUCUCCUGUCUGGUUCUCACAAUGACCUCUUGCUCUGAUUUGCAACUGGGGUUUAAAAUCCCCUCUCUCAAGUUCGCACAACUGUCCCUUCAGGGGCUUUGCAUUUUCUCCCAGUCUGAGCAUUUUUAGACAAAUGUCAGUUUUUUGUCAUUAGCCUUGUGAGAAUUUCUGGAAAAAAAUAAACAGUUUGGAGAAGGAAACCCACUCUGGGAGUGAAGAAUAUGAGUCAGUGCCAUGUUGGGAGGAGGGGUGCGGAGACAAUGAGCUUUUGGCUAAUAUCUUGGGGCUCUUUCAUUGAGAUUAGAAGCUGGGAGUGGCUUUGGCGCCCUGCUUUCUGGUUUCUACCCCAGGAAUAGAAGUCCAUGGCAGGAAAGGAAUGGUAGAGCAAAGUUUAUGAGGACUAUUUAUGAUAUAUUGAAAUGGAAAGAUGCUUUUUAUAAUGACUUAAAAUUUGUCGAAUUUGUGAGGGAUUGCAGCAUUUCAUAACUGUUGCCCCAAGAGAAACCCAGGCCUCCUCAAAUCUGGGCCUAACUACCCUGCCUCCUUACUUCCCACUGAGCCCAUCAAGGAUUUGUCUUCCUGCUACUUGCUGACUGAGUGGCCUUGGGUGAGUUACUGCCUGAGUCUUGGCUUUCUAUCCAUUAAACAGGAGUAACGACACAAUGAGAUUGUUGUGAAGACUGGAAUAAAAUAAACAGUGUUAGAUGGAAGAGUAUUUUAAGCUAUAAAAUGCUAUAAAAAACUAGAAAUUUGUCUUCUUUGGUUCCUGAAAGCCAAGCUUUCCCUCUUACACUGCUUUGCUUUGACCUCAGGCUCUAUCAGCUUUAUAUACACAGAGCCAAACAACUGUGGUUGCAAAUGGAAAUAUUUAAAAAUACGGUUAAAAUAAAAGUUUUGCUAUUUUUCAAAACUAUAGACAAAUAGUUAAAAAAAAAACAUAAACAAACCCAAACUAUGGAUAGUACUAAUUCUAGUCUUUGCUGUGGAAUGAUGUGAACUUGGGUCAGUCAUUGCCAAGACUUGCCUCUUCACCACCCCUUUCUAGACUAUGAAGACCUAAAGGACACCAUGGACUUGCCACUGGUGAGUGGGUAGAUGAGUAGUAAAUGUUUGUUUAAAAAAGUGAGUGGGCCUUGGUUUCUUCACCUUUAAAGGAUGAGAGUGGGACUGUAUCAGGGUUCUUCUAAGUAAGGCAGGUGACUCAGGGGAUUUUGAUAGGAAUUUCGUGGGCCACAUCUAGCAUUUGGUAAUGCAACAGAAGGGAAUAGAGUAAAAACUUAGAGUAGACUACACAUAGUAAGGUAGAUAUUUCUUUGUGAAACUUUUGUUUCAGUUGUGUGUGGGUGCUAGGUCUAGGUGUCAAGUAUGUUUCUUAUGGUUCAUUGUGGCUAAAAAAUGCGUAGAAAACACUGGGCUAGUCCUCCCGUCUCUAAUAUCACAUUGCUGCUACUACCCCCCUCACCCCCCAUAACCCCUUCCAUUUGAUUAAUACUUUACAUUCUACAAAGAAUGUUUACACCCACUCCUUCAUAUGGUCCUCAUCAGAACCUGGGGUAGGGAGGGACAUGCUAUUACUCUUCUCCUUCUUGUAGAGGAGGAGAGACUUGUAUCCUCAAAUCUCCCUUCUAGGAGGAACUGUCUUUGUUUCAAGAGACAUUUAAAUGAGGCCUGGGAAAGAAGGCUGGACCACAUGAUCUCAGGAAGAAAGGAGCAGGUCCCUGUCUCCUAUGAGUAGGAGAUAUUGAAGAGGGGGCUUGUGUGUGGAGAGAGGCCAGUGAGGUUGCAUGGGGGAGGGGAAACAAAGAAAGAACCCUUGGAGAAUGUGGGCUGUUUAGUGGAGUGCUGCUGUGCAUUGCAUGAUCUGACCUUCUUCCCAGGAUUCUCCUAAUCUUCAGAUAUGAUUACUUAAAAGUCAUGAACUUCUUGCUGUGAUCGGAUUUCUUGUGGAAUCUGGCACAGAAGCUGAUUUCUGCAUCAAGUUGUAGCCAAAGUCAAAGCAGAAACAGCAUGCGUGGAUGAAGGAACAUCUGGGUUACAUAUAGAUGAUGAGACUGAGGGUCAGAGAGGCUUUACGACAGCUCAUCAAAAAGAGGCUAAGUGAUUGGCUGGAGGCUCUCAGUAACCUUGGAAUUAGAUGAGGUGGAAGGAUGAGACCACCCAAUUCAGUUCCUUUUUUUUUUAAAUUGAUAUGGCUUUAUGUGUUCUGGCCGUGAUACAGUGUUAUCUUGAGACUUAAAUGUGGUAUCAGCAUACAAGUGAUCUGAAAAUGGUCAACAAGAAAGCCAAAGGCUACUUCAGACAGAGAACAUGCCUCUUCUAGUUGAUGUAUGUGCAGAGGUGCAGAAUUUUCUGCGGGUGCUGAAAAUCGGGGGCCCAUGUUAUGCUUCCCACUACUACCCCUCAGGGACAAACAGAGAGAAGUCAUUCUCAGGGACGCCUGCGGCAGGCACUUUACAGGGUGUCUUUAGGAAGACGAUGGGCGUCCCGAAUUUUGGCAUUACAGGGAGCUGCACUAUAGCUAUUAGGAAAGCGAUAGUGAGAACCGUAAAGGUACAGCUGAAAAAACAAGCAAUUGCAGAUAGAGAGACUGAGGCUUCUUAUCAAUAAGGCAUUUCAUUCCCAGAGUGAAGAAAUGUCUGUUCCUGUGCAGAUUGGGUUAAACUCAGAUUGUCGUGGGACCGUGAGAGGACUACACACUGCAUUUUUGCAGUACUAGCAUGGCAAAAAUGGUACAGGCAGUGAUCAGGGUCUGAUCACAGCGAUAAAGCUCAUGCCAACCCUCCUCUGUCCUGCCGUGAUUCUCAGCCUGGGGUAGGGGUAAGCGUCAGAGCCUCCAAGGAGACUUUCUUAAAGGACUUCGGUCCCCUACCCCGCCCCAGCAGAUUUUAAUGAAUUUUCCCCUGUGACAUCCUCUUUCUCCCUUUAUCUUAACCAGCUGACAAUUACUACAUGCAAAAUAGAUAUUACUGACGAGCAUGUUUUGUUUGUCUGAGAAAGUCUGAGAACUCGUGGACAGGGUCUGGAAGGCCCACAUCAGUUUAUGUCACAUGUGUAGAGAUAUGCAUGGAGUUUUUUUCCCUGUGGUUUGGAUUCUGUUAUUCUCAAUGUAUUCUCUAAUGCUCUCAGGUAUAAAGAUCUUAACUGAACAUUGGGAUUAAUUUUCUUGCCUCCAGGGUGGGCAAGCCAGGUAAGCAGCCUCUGCCCGUGCCAGAGUCACACCUGAGCAAGGCUUACUCUUGUCGAGGUGCUCCACCGAUUACAAAAACGCCUUUGUAAACCACAAACUGCUCUUCAAGGUCUACCUUAUAAAAAUACUAAAGGAAUCCUUCAUGCUGACACAAAGGACACCUGAGAGUAACUCAAAUAUGCAUAAGAAAUACAGAACAUCAGUAAAGGUAACUACACAGUCUCAGCUGAUCUUGAAUGGAAACCACAGCCUGAUUCUUCAAGGAUGCGUGUCCUCUAGACAAAGAAGUGGGGAACGAGGAAUGUGGUGCUCUUGGAGGAAGCACAAUACAUGAACAAUGGCAGGACUUGCAGUAACCUGGCCCAUUUUGUGCUGAGACAAAGAGGGAAUCGCAUUAAUCGUCUGAAGGCACCUCGCUGAGUGCCUAGUAUGUAUAAUGUGCUUCAGAACCAUUGGUUUACUUCUUUCUUACUUCCUUCCAUCUAGGAAAAAGAUAAAUUUGUCAAUGACCAGGGCUAACAUCGAUCAUGACAAAGUUUAUUUAUCUUUAUGUUGCAUUUUCAAUUUAAUUUGAUAGUUGAGAUAUAGUUAUUUCAUGAAAAAAAAUCAUCCCAAUGUUGUCUCCUGGGCCCUCAGAUGGUGUAUAAUAAAUUAAACAUUCACGUAAGCCUUGUUGACACAAAGGGGAAGUUUCUGACUCAAAAGACCCCAAACUGAGAAAAUGAGACUUAAGAUGAACGGAGUGUCUCCCUGCCUGUUAUCACAGGCAGGGUCUCCUGUGGCUAUUUAUUGCCGAGGGGUGAAAACAGCCAUACUUCAGACUGCUCACAAUUGUCCACCUGCCGGGAAGCCCAUCCAUAAUGCACAUAUUUCAGAUGUUUCCUGCGUAGAACAUUUAUCUUUUUAAUACUUGACCUACAGCACACAUGUGUGAUGACUCUCAUCUAUAACGUGUUCCAGCUUCACGGACUUUUCUUUGCUCCAGUGGAAACUAUUUUAAUAGACUUUCUUUUAGACUCAUGAAAGCCCUCAGAGUUUUAAAGCAAGUCCCUCAAGUGUCUGUCCCCUUAAAUUUUCCGUCCGACAGGAAAUUGGUUUUGCACAUCUUCCAGUUUGCCCAACUUUGGCUGGAUACAUAUUUAUCUGUAACCUUCCAGGUGUGAGCCCUUUGCCCUGGGAGACAGGUGAGAGGAGUGGGAAGGACAUAGUAUUUGUAUUUCACAGAUCAGGAUUAGAACUCAGGUUUCAAAGCACUUGCGGUUGACGCUAUCUAGCCUCAGGUAUCAAAUAGGAUGUCAAUCUUAAUCCUAAUACUGAUAAUGCUAAAACCAAUACUAAGCCACUACCAAGGCUAAAACUUGUACUAAUACUGAUGCCAAUUCUAAUAGUGACAGCAAUUGCAAUGGCAAUACCUAUUCUAGUACUGUGUAGUCAUCAGGGUUCUCCAGAGAAGCAGGACCAAUAGAAUGUUUAUAUACAGAGAAAAUGAUUUAUUUUAAGCAAUCAGCUCAUGCAAUUAUGGACACUGGAAAGUCCAGAAUAUGCAGGUGGGCCGGCAGGCUGGAGUCCCAGGGAGGGGCCGAGGCUGCUGUCCAAGUCCUAAGGCAGUCCACUGGCAGAAUUUCCUCUUGCUCAGGAAAGGUCAGACUUUGUUCUAGUCAGGCCUUCAGCUGAUUGGACACGGCCCACCACAUUAUGAGGGGCAAUCUGCUUUACUCAAAGUCUACUGAUUUAAAUGUUAAUCUCAUCGAAAAACACCCUCCCACAAACGUCCAGAAUUUAACCAAAUAUCUGGGCACCAUGGCCCAGCCAAGUUAACAUAUAAAAUUAACCAUCACACACUGGUACUGAUACUAAUAUUAAAAUGUACUAAUAUUGUAUCAGUCAGGGUUCCACCAGAGAAACAUAACCAGUAGGAUAUGAAUAUAUAUAUAUAUAUAUAGAGAGAGAGAGAGAGAGAGAUCUAUUGUAAAGAAUUGGCUUAUACCAUUAUAGAGGUUGGCUAGCCAAGUCUGAAGUCCCCACGGCAGGCUGUCAGGGAAGACACGCUGGAACUCUCAGCAGAAGUUGAUGUUGUAUUCCACAGGUGGAAUCUUGUUCUUCUGGGAAAUCUCAGUUCUGCCUUUAAGAUUUUACAACUGACUGAAUCGGGCCCACCCGGAUUAUUUAGGAUAAUCCUUGUUACAUAAAGGCAACUAAUUAUGGACUUUAAUCAUAUCUACAAAAUACCUUCACAGCAACACCUAGCUCUAUUUGAUUGCCUAUUUGCAUACUAUAGCCUAGCCAAGCUGACACAUAAAACUGACCAUCACAAACAUAUAAAGCAAUAAGCACACAGCCUGGCACAUAUAUGUGUCCAGUCAUUUCUAGCUAGGGUAGUGAGAGGUUCAAAGGCAGACACUAUAUCAAUCCUGAUAUUAAGAAGUGUGAGAUACAGUAGAAAAGAUAUGGUUAGACUCAAGCAUUUCUCUGACAAGGUAAUAAGCCAACAGCUUACAUUUACUGACCCAUUAGAAUGUACCAGUCCAUGUUAAGAGUUCCACAUGCAUUUUUUACAUUUCAUUUUCAUACAACUCUAUGAGAUAAAUAUUAUUAUUUUGUGUUUUGCAGCAGAGAAGACCAAGUCUCCGGAAGUUUAAGUUAAUGCCUACAAUUACACAGCUAACAAGUUCCAGAGUAAGGAUGCUCACCUAGGAUGAGCCAACAGUCUUGGCCAAGAUAGAAAGAACAAAUUUGGUGGAGGGGAAGCAGAGGAAGUGUCCGGUAGAGUCAGAGAUGGGGAGCACCAUAGUGGAGGAGGCACUGGGCAGACCUGUGGUAGGAGGAGAACUCGGGCAGGUAGAACUGAGAAUGGAGGGUUGAGAAAGAACAGGGUAUUCUACAAGGAGGCGCAAAGAUCUGGAGAGACGACACCUAUGUGGGGCACAGGGGGCUCCAUUGGCAGUGCCCUCCAGCCAGUGGGUGUGAGAGAGGAGACAGGAUGCAUAGACACUACAAACCACUCAAGUCUAUCAAACUCAUGACAGUUUUGGGUUCGGGACAUUUCUCUGGAAAACCACUAGUGAGGCUGAGUAGAAGCAGGAGCCCAGGAGGCAGAAACCAUUGGUGAUAUGGUCAAUUAAUGUUAAUAGCAAUAGUGAGAAGAGGAAGAAGAGAAGAAAGAAGAGAGGGUGAGGAAGAAGGAGGGAGAAUUCUGAGAAGGUCACUUUCUUCACAGAGCCUGUAAUUUUUGUGGCUCAUUUGUAGGAAAGUGAGCUUACACGCCGUGCUCAUGUAACUUUUUGGGACACGUUCUCAUUGUUUUCUUAAGUCCCUAAGCCAUAAGGAAAAUCAUGGAAAAAUGGAGGAUUUGAAUAUCUGAAAGCUGCUAGUCCAACUUGGCUGAGACUUUUUUUGGGUGCAAAAUUUAUAAAAUGCCUUGAAAGUAUUUUCCACGGCACAUUCAGUGACUUCACUCAGCCCUGCUUAAAUGGUCUAUUUUGGUUUUGAGUUCAUAAAGCCCCUCUCUCUCCCCCUCGUCUCCCUGCUCAGGUUGACGUCCAGAUAAAACAGCUAACUCAAAUAUGGUGUAAAAAUACAAGCCCCUUUUAGCCUGGCUUUUCAUGCUGCGCCCCAAAGUGUGCCUGGGUGUUGAAAGUGAAGAGGGGUGGGGCCGAGGGAGGGUGUUUUUCCAGCCCAAGUUAUGAGAGUGAGCACUUUCUCGAGCUUGUAGCGAGAGCCAUUGCACCCUUGCUGCAGUGGAAACCAUUCAGGAUGAUGCCCGCAUGCAGCGGUCGGUUGAGAGCUGGAAAACCUGCCAAAGUCAGCAGCUGGAGUAAGUAGAGUAAAUCAAGUUAAGAGGGAACAGGACAAGAUUUUGGAAAAGGAGAGAAUACAUGGGUCAAACCAUUAACCAGACCUGCAGGGUUAAGAUGAUGAGAUAUAAAUUGACUGGUAUUUCCUGGGUUUAGAAAAGGAAGUCUGGAUGCGAUUUAUAUCUGGUCCUCUGGCCCUCCAUGCUCUUGGGUUCCUCCCUUCCCAGCCUGUGUGCCCAGUGGGCCUCAGGUGUGGGGCAUUUAGAGUAGGAUGGGGUGUAAGCCAGAAAGUUCUGGGUUUUGCAGCUAUAAAUACAUUUAUCCAGCCCGUCAUCCUCAAUUAGUGCUGGAGUGCCCACAAUGCAGUGCUCUUCCUACAGGCUGAACCCAAUGCUGCACAGGGCCCCCAAACCUCUCCUUUCUGGUCUUUUCAAACCUUUUCUCUUCACAUCCUGACAGAUGGCUGUGAGACAGGGCCCUGCCCCUGUUGGAACCAUGAUAGUCAGAAAUGAUGGCCAUGGGCGUCUUGGUGAAAAGGAGACUGUGCCUCUAGGCAAGUCCUGACGUUGGUUUGGUCGUGGGGGUUCCUCCUGCCCUUACCUGGCUUUGCUGAGUCAUGUUGACGCAACAGCUGUGCUCUGGUCUGUGUGGUCCUCAAGGGUGACAAAGCACUUCUGUAUCAAUAUAUGCAUUUUUCUUUCUUUAUUUGUGUUUUUUUUUUUUUUUUUACUUAACCUUCUAAUCGUCUUGUGAGAGAGAUAGUAGUGCUUAUUUGAGGAAAUUGAGUUUCAGAGGGCUUAAGUGGCUCACCCAUGGCUGCACAAGCCAUGCACAGCAGAGACAGGACUAUGAGGUUGAUACAAUUAUCUCCAUUUUGUAGCUAGAGAAACCGAGGCUCAGAGAGGCUAACAAAGUAACACAAGGACAAACAGCGAGUGAGGGUUGGAGCUACUUAAAUACAAGAUUGUUCACUCCACAGCAUCACUGAAAUCCACAUGCUCUUAAGUCCUGUCCUCCCCACUGCUGUCCCUGUAAAGACCCCUAGAAAAUGCCUAGUGGGUCCUCAGGAAUUGGGGAAGAUGGCUGAUGCCUCCCCCCGACCCCAAAACACAUAGAAUUGCUCUAGGCUUUCCUUCUCAUGGUCAUUCUAUCCAUUUAUUCAUCCAUCCAUCCACUCAGUCACCAAGUGCUCAUUGUGUCAAGACCUGAGCUGGGUGCUGGAGACACGCUUGUGAAUAAGUUCCAAGCCUGGGAGUCAUCCUUGAUCCCUGCUUUUCCUUAGUCUCACUAUUUCCAUUGCUGAUUCUGUCAACUCCACCUGCAGCCUGGAAGGAAUUCCUUUCUCUCCUUUCUAUGGCUACGUCCUAUCCCAAGACCUCAACAUCUCAGCGAUAGCCACAUAACUGGUCUUUUCCUGUGUCCACUAGUCUAUUCCCCACACAGUAGCCAGAGUGAGUUUUUCAAAAGCAAGAUCGCUUCACUCCCCUGUUUUAGAACUCUCAAUGGAUUUUCAUCACACUUAGAAAAAAGACAAACUCCUUACAUGAUGGGUAAGACCUUUCAUGAUCUGGCUAUGUGUAUCUGACCUUAUCUCCUUCCUUUGCCACUCAUCCUCUCCCCCCCAGCUCCAGACAAACUAGCUUUACGUCUGUUGUUCUCACACCCCAAGGGCUUUCCUGCUCCAGAACUUCACUCGCAACUAUCCUCAGCCCCCCAGAAGGCAAUGUCCUGGGACUGGCUUUUUCCUAUCAUUCUUCUCUCAGCUCUAGUAUAGACUCCUUCAAGAAGUGUCUCUUGGCAUACUAUGUAAAGAAGACACCUCAUCUUUCUCCAUCUCAUUCCUCUAUUUUAAUUUUCUGGUAUUACUUAUCCCUCUCUAGUAUUAUGUGUAAUUUAUUUAUUUUCUUUCUUUGUCCAUUAGAAUGCAAUCCCGUGAAGCCAGGAGCAGAGUCUCUCGUCUUCACUGCUGUGGUCUCAACACUUAAAACAGUGCUUGCAUGAGAAACAGAAGAGGAGAAGACACAGACACACAGGAAAAGGCCAAGUGAAGACUCAUGGGAAGAUGGAGGCCACUAUUAGAAUUAUGCUUCCACAAGCCAAGGAACACCUGGAGUCACCAGAAGAGACAAGGAAGGAUUCUCCCUAAGAGCGUCCAGAAGGAACAAAUCCUGCCAACAUGUUGAUUUGAGACUUCUGACCCCCAGAACUGUAAGUGUUGUUUGCACCCACCAAGUUGCGGUAAUUUGUUAUGGCUGCCACAGGAACUUCAUACACCUGUGUUCAUUAUUAUCGACAUUGCUCCUUGGGAAACCUAUUUCACUCCUUCGUUUUGUACUUACUAUAGUCAAGGCCUUGGAAAUAUGAACACCAACAGGGCAAGUCAGUGCUUUUGAGGAGUUUGUAAUCUGGGUGUGGGGAGAGAGGGAGAUGGGUCUCUACCAGCCCUGAUAAACAACACCAGACACAUGCAGAUCCCCAGGUUAGCCUGUGCUCAACCCUCUGUGCUUUGCUGAUGGCAGGGCUUCUCAGCCCUAACGCUAUUGACCUUUGAGAGAGAUAAAUGUUUGUUGUUAGGUUUCCCUGUACAUUGUAAGAUGAUUAGCAGCAUCCCUGGCCUCUACCCACUGGAUGCGGUAACAAGUCCACCCCUUCCUCCAUUAUGACAAUCGAAACUGUGUCCAGACAUUGCCAAAUAUAUAUCCCCUGAGGGAGCAAAAUUGCCCCUGGUUGAGAACCACUGCUGUAUGGCCUUUCUCUUUCUGGAACACUGUUGCCCUUGACUUUCUGACAAGUUCUCGAAGUCUUUCUUGAUUCUCAAAUCUGGGUGCGCCUCUUUCAUUCCUAUGACACUAUGCACAAACCCUAGUUAAAACAGUUGUCUUAGCUUUCUGCACUUUUCUGUCUGAACCUCUGCUUUCCAGCAAAAUCUGAAGUUUUGUAAGAAAAGGUGUGUGUCUUUGCAUCUCUGUUUUCCCUCACACCUAAUGUUUGUUGAGAUAAGAAGGAAAGACCUACUGUGGUCACACUGUGGGGCCCCAGAGGAGACAGAUGUGCAAGGCCCAGCAAAGGAACAGUUUAUUACUAGAAAGAGCUUUGUCCCCACACCUCAGGGUAGCCUCAUGGGAGGCUGACUGGGCCUUGUGUGGACCACAAAGCCGUCUUUUGUGUCCCUGGCCUAAAGCCAGCAAUUUGAGCAGUGUGGGCAGCUUUUGAGAUCCCUUUUCUCUGGGCCAGCACUCCCCAAGCUUGUUUUGUGGCUCAGCAGCCCCUUGAGAUGGUUCUGGAAGAAAGAGUCUCAAGGUAAUUGAUAUUUAGAAAACCCUGCCUCCUACAUGUCCCUCUUAGAAAUUCGCAAUGCGCAUUCGUAAAGAUGAAAGAUUGAGAUGAGAAAUUUGUUUCACGUUAUUUAGAUCAUUGUUUUCUGAACUUACAGGACCAUGGAACCUAAAACAUCUAAGAAAUUUGUAAUGUCAUAACAUAUAUUUUGGGAAUUAUUAACUCAA